This 77-nucleotide transfer RNA is filed under the name Bacteroidota bacterium. Its description in RNAcentral is "Bacteroidetes bacterium (aquifer metagenome) tRNA-Ala". It matches the Rfam family "tRNA". From Rfam's summary of the family: Transfer RNA (tRNA) molecules are approximately 80 nucleotides in length. The record is from RNAcentral. Lineage: Bacteria; Pseudomonadati; Bacteroidota.
GGGGGAUUAGCUCAUUUGGCUAGAGCGCUUGCCUGGCAGGCAAGAGGUAGGGGGUUCGACUCCCCCAUUCUCCACCA